RNAcentral lists this ribosomal RNA (597 nucleotides) under uncultured bacterium. RNAcentral describes it as "bacterial SSU rRNA". It matches the Rfam family "Bacterial small subunit ribosomal RNA", at positions 10 to 616 of the family's 1533-position model. The record is from RNAcentral.
AGUUUGAUCAUGGCUCAGGAUAAACGCUGGCGGCGCACAUAAGACAUGCAAGUCGAACGAACUUAACCAUUAGUUUACUAUUGGAGCGGUUAGUGGCGGACUGGUGAGUAACACGUAAGCAACCUGCCUAUCAGAGGGGAACGACAGUUAGAAAUGACUGCUAAUACCGCAUAUGCCUUAGAAUCACAUGGUUCAAAAGGGAAAGGAGCAAUCCGCUGAUAGAUGGGCUUGCGUCUGAUUAGCUAGUUGGUGGGGUAAUGGCCUACCAAGGCAACGAUCAGUAGCCGAACUGAGAGGUUGAACGGCCACAUUGGGACUGAGAUACGGCCCAGACUCCUACGGGAGGCAGCAGUCGGGAAUAUUGCGCAAUGGAGGAAACUCUGACGCAGUGACGCCGCGUGCAGGAAGAAGGUUUUCGGAUUGUAAACUGCUUUAGACAGGGAAGAACAAAGACAGUACCUGUAGAAUAAGCUCCGGCUAACUACGUGCCAGCAGCCGCGGUAAUACGUAGGGAGCGAGCGUUAUCCGGAUUUAUUGGGUGUAAAGGGUGCGUAGACGGGAAGUCAAGUUAGUUGUGAAAUCCCUCGGCUUAACUGA